UGACUUACCUGGAGGUGUUCAUGAUUGGACGAUCAAUAAGACUCACUGCCUAGACUGGUGACCUCCAUUGCACUUUGAAGGGUUGCUAUCUUAAGGUCGGCUCAAGUGGUCGAGCCUAUGUCAUAAUUUGUGACAGUGGGGUCCUACAUUCGCGCGAUCCCUAC
Solanum dulcamara is the source of this 164-nucleotide small nuclear RNA. RefSeq annotates it as U1 spliceosomal RNA. The transcript has a single exon. The record is from RefSeq and is a predicted model, not a curated record. NCBI's taxonomy places the organism in Eukaryota, Viridiplantae, Streptophyta, Magnoliopsida, Solanales, Solanaceae.